This 615-nucleotide ribosomal RNA is filed under the name Mycobacterium sp. L18o. RNAcentral describes it as "bacterial SSU rRNA". It matches the Rfam family "Bacterial small subunit ribosomal RNA", at positions 356 to 995 of the family's 1533-position model. The record is from RNAcentral. Lineage: Bacteria; Bacillati; Actinomycetota; Actinomycetes; Mycobacteriales; Mycobacteriaceae.
GGGGAAUAUUGCACAAUGGGGCGCAAGCCUGAUGCAGCGACGCCGCGUGAGGGACGACGGCCUUCGGGUUGUAAACCUCUUUCAGCACAGACGAAGCGCGAGUGACGGUAUGUGCAGAAGAAGGACCGGCCAACUACGUGCCAGCAGCCGCGGUAAUACGUAGGGGCCGACGUUGUCGGAAUUCUGGGCGUAAGAGCUCGUAGGUGGUUUGUCGCGUUGUUCGUGAAAACUCACAGCUCAACUGUGGGCGUGCGGGCGAUACGGGCAGACUAGAGUACUGCAGGGGAGACUGGAAUUCCUGGUGUAGCGGUGGAAUGCGCAGAUAUCAGGAGGAACACCGGUGGCGAAGGCGGGUCUCUGGGCAGUAACUGACGCUGAGGAGCGAAAGCGUGGGGAGCGAACAGGAUUAGAUACCCUGGUAGUCCCGCCGUAACGGUGGGUACUAGGUGUGGUUUCCUUCUUGGAAUCGUGCCGUAGCUAACCAUUAGUACCCGCCUGGGGAUACGCCGCAAGCUAAACUCAAAAAAUUGACGGGGCCCCCAAAAAGCGGCGGAACAUGUGGAUUAAUUCGAUGCANCGCGAANAACCUUUACCUGGGUUUUGACAUGCACAGGA